GAUGAACGCUGGCGGCGUGCCUAAUACAUGCAAGUCGAGCGAACGGACGAGAAGCUUGCUUCUCUGAUGUUAGCGGCGGACGGGUGAGUAACACGUGGAUAACCUACCUAUAAGACUGGGAUAACUUCGGGAAACCGGAGCUAAUACCUGAUAAUAUUUUGAACCGCAUGGUUCAAAAGUGAAAGACGGUCUUGCUGUCACUUAUAGAUGGAUCCGCGCUGCAUUAGCUAGUUGGUAAGGUAACGGCUUACCAAGGCAACGAUGCAUAGCCGACCUGAGAGGGGGAUGGGCCACACUGGAACUGAGACACGGUCAAGACUCCUACGGGAGGCAGCAGUAGGGAAUCUUCAGCAAUGGGCGAAAGCCUGACGGAGCAACGCCGCGUGAGUGAUGAAGGUCUUCGGAUCGUAAAACUCUGUUAUUAGGGAAGAACAUAUGUGUAAGUAACUGUGCACAUCUUGACGGUACCUAAUCAGAAAGCCACGGCUAACUACGUG
This 497-nucleotide ribosomal RNA is filed under the name uncultured bacterium. Its description in RNAcentral is "partial 16S ribosomal RNA". It matches the Rfam family "Bacterial small subunit ribosomal RNA", at positions 28 to 507 of the family's 1533-position model. The record is from RNAcentral.